Molecule: microRNA precursor, 94 nt
Filed under: Tupaia belangeri (northern tree shrew)
Lineage: Eukaryota; Metazoa; Chordata; Mammalia; Scandentia; Tupaiidae
Description: miRNA (ENSTBEG00000017813.1)
Rfam family: mir-684 microRNA precursor family
Source: RNAcentral
UGUAGGGAAAUUUGUCUUUAAGUAAGAGUAAAUUACUCUUAAAGGAAAAUAAAAAGGAAUCCUAAAUAGUUUUCCCUUCAAGUCAAGUGUCUUG